GGCGCAGAGACAUCCUCCCAGGACCCAGGCAGGCAGCUCAGAGCCUUGGUCCACCACCCUGUGCUGUGUUGGGCGUCAUCUCUAACUCACUUGGGAUUGGUCCAAAUAGCCACAGUAAAGUUAGUCAUCACUCCCACAUAUUCUGCAGGACAACUGGCCAACUCUACCCAGGACUUUGGGUCUUGGCCUUGCCUGAUAUGAGUGCAUGUCCCUCCUGUGUGACUUUGGACAUGGACAAAGUGUUUCCAGAGAAGAUUGAUACUGGACAGAGUGAUGACUCUCCCUCCCCAGGAGCAAAUCCAUCCAGAAGUCUGGCCCUGCCCUGAAGAGGAAGACAGAACAAGGGGAAGCUCCCUGCUGGUUCUUCCCUCUGGAGCAGGCGUGUUCUCUCCUGCUGCUGCUGCUGGACAUCUGACCCCAGUUCCUAGAGCCUCUGGAC
This is a non-coding RNA of Ictidomys tridecemlineatus (thirteen-lined ground squirrel), 439 nucleotides long. The record is from RefSeq and is a predicted model, not a curated record. Lineage: Eukaryota; Metazoa; Chordata; Mammalia; Rodentia; Sciuridae.